Molecule: long non-coding RNA, 2088 nt
Organism: Astatotilapia calliptera (eastern happy)
Lineage: Eukaryota; Metazoa; Chordata; Actinopteri; Cichliformes; Cichlidae
Source: Ensembl
CUUAAUAAAGUUUAAUAUUUAAAAAAAUAAAAAAAAGGUUUUAGCUCAGAGUAGUGGCCAGCGCAAAAAGUAAUGUUUAAUGUUAAACACUCUGAAAUUCAGACAGACAUCACUAAAUGACGGUAUCUCACACUGGCUUUUUACAGCACUUCUGCCAUGGUAAAACUUAUUAGCUUAUUACCCGUUUUGUAACCAGUUUCAAUGUUAUCUUUGCAUGAAAACGUUAUGUUAACCUUGACAACAAACUGGGCCAAGCACGCGUUGUCAUGGAGACGCUUUCAUGGGUCGGUGUAGGAUAUGUGCGCCAAUUAUAUGACAGUGAUAUAAGUAACUUGCAUAUUGUCUAAUAUUGUUUUUUCACUUUUUCAAUAGUCACCGUUUAUCCGGUGCAGCACUGUUACUUUAAAGUAAUGUUUAAAGCUGACUUGACAGUUUGUCAGCUGGUGUAAGAUUGCCUAAUGUACUGUAAGUUAAUGUCACACGCAAAUUAAAGUUGUACUUCAUGCUCUGUAUUAUAAGAUUGCUACAUUUUCAGAGCUUUUUACAUAAUGGGGAAGGAGACAAUAUUAAAGGAAUGAUUGUGUGUUGUUGAUGUAUACUGUGUUACAGAUAGUAUUAAUUUUUCUAUAGUUAUUGCAUUUUUUUAUCAUAGUAACAAAAAAAUGUUUGAAUUCAAGCUUGCAUUUAUGUUACAUGUCAUGUAUGUUAUCAAUCAUAUACUUGAUAUAGUAGACAAGUGGUCAUAUGUAAGUUAAUAUGAUUCCUUACAUAUUUUUUUCAUGAUGUCUCUGGUUUUGGCUUGUUGAUGUAUUCAGCUCCUGCAUCUAUGGAUUCCUUCUGUGUGUUAGAUAUGGAUGUUUUAUCCCAUUGCAAAAGUGCUUUUGGCAAAAUUGACUAUGUCUCUUGUGUUUCAGGGGUGGAGUUCAUGCAGUGCCGAUUUUGCAAAUUCACAAGCUCCAGUCAAGAGACUCUUUUGAAACAUUUCCGCCUUCAUCACGGACAAGAUAUCUGAAGAAUUUCAUCGGAUCACAAGCAAAGACCUCCUGGGGACGUUCAAUGCAUCCCUGGACAAAUUUGUGCCUGGCCUGCUGAAACUAUACCGGUCUAAGAAGGGAGCUCUUGGUGAGGAGAUGGAAGACAUCUUGGAUAAACUUGAUGAACAGACAUCUGACAUUGUGUCCCACCGAAAGACAGCAGCACUGAGAGGCCUGCCCAUUUUCCUCGGAGAGGAUGCAACACAGGUUUUCCUGAAGUGCUUAGACACUGACAUUUUGGAACCAGUGUUGAACGGUGCAUCAGUUGCCAUCCUCACCAUCCUGCAAGAUGACGAUGCCGAUACGUCUGUGCGAGAACAUGCUGUUGUGUUGGAAGGGGACAUCGUGCUACAUAACAUUCCAGACCUCUCUACUGCCUUGGCAUACCUCUUUGGCCUUCUGUAUGCCCUCAACAUUGAUUAUCCAAAGCAGAUGAGUUUACCUUUGAAGCAAUUCAGGUCAUCUUUUUUGAACUCGGUGGCUCUCGAUGCUCACAGCGCAUAAGGUCUCUAAAAACAAAGCUUUUGCUGUGACUGUUAACGGGGAAGCCAGACAUGAGUUUAACUUGUUCUUAAACAUGUUUAAGUGCAUUGUAGAGUCAUGUAAAAAAACAAAACAAAACCCAGUAGUUCAACCCCUUUCCCUCUAUAUAAUCGUUCAUUUUACCUGAUAGUUCACUGUUCAUUGAUGGUAACAUUUCUAAUAACUUUUGACUUCUGUAGUUCAUCAUAGUGAGCCCAUGUAAAAUGUCAAUGUCUGGGUACAAAGGCAAUUGUUUGUUGCACUACCCUAUUUAGUGUGCAAUAGUUAAGUUAAGCUUUUACAGGACAGUCAGGGUGUGAAUGUGAAUGACUAAGCUGCUGGACACUUUUCUUUUUUUCUGGACUCUGGAAUUUUAAUGUCUCUGCUGGGGUGCUCAAAGCACCCUAAAGAAACUGGCAACACGUUUUUUUCUGUUUGUUUGCUUUUUUACAGAAAUUCACCCCACUGCCCAUGACCUUCUGAAAUAUACUGAAAGCACUGUUGAAAAAAAUAAAUACGUUUUUACAUAACA